RNAcentral lists this ribosomal RNA (383 nucleotides) under uncultured eukaryote. Its description in RNAcentral is "partial 18S ribosomal RNA". It matches the Rfam family "Eukaryotic small subunit ribosomal RNA", at positions 592 to 976 of the family's 1831-position model. The record is from RNAcentral.
CAAUAGCGUAUAUUAAAGUCGUUGCAGUUAAAAAGCUCGUAGUUGGAUUUCUGGUAGGAGCGACCGUGCCGAACUUGAUUGUUCGAGUAUUGUGUUGUCUUCAGCCAUCCUCGUGGAGAACUUUUCUAACAUUAACUUGUUGGGAUUGGGACCCGCGUCGUUUACUGUGAAAAAAUUAGAGUGUUUAAAGCAGGCAUUAGCUUGAAUACAUUAGCAUGGAAUAAUAAGAUAGGACUUUGGUACUAUUUUGUUGGUUUGCAUACCAAAUUAAUGAUCAACAGGAACAGUUUGAGGAUAUUCGUAUGAACAUGUCAGAGGUGAAAUUCUUGGAUUUUGAUCAGACGAACUACUGCGAAAGCAUUUAUCAAGGAUGUUUUCAUUAA